AGCGAACGCUGGCGGCAGGCCUAACACAUGCAAGUCGAACGGCAGCACAGGAGAGCUUGCUCUCUGGGUGGCGAGUGGCGGACGGGUGAGGAAUACAUCGGAAUCUACUCUGUCGUGGGGGAUAACGUAGGGAAACUUACGCUAAUACCGCAUACGACCUACGGGUGAAAGCAGGGGACCUUCGGGCCUUGCGCGAUUGAAUGAGCCGAUGUCGGAUUAGCUAGUUGGCGGGGUAAAGGCCCACCAAGGCGACGAUCCGUAGCUGGUCUGAGAGGGUGAUCAGCCACACUGGAACUGAGACACGGUCCAGACUCCUACGGGAGGCAGCAGUGGGGAAUAUUGGACAAUGGGCGCAAGCCUGAUCCGGCCAUACCGCGUGGGUGAAGAAGGCCUUCGGGUUGUAAAGCCCUUUUGUUGGGAAAGAAAUCCAGCUGGCUAAUACCCGGUUGGGAUGACGGUACCCAAAGAAUAAGCACCGGCUAACUUCGUGCCAGCCGCCGCCGUAA
This 506-nucleotide ribosomal RNA is filed under the name uncultured bacterium. Its description in RNAcentral is "partial 16S ribosomal RNA". It matches the Rfam family "Bacterial small subunit ribosomal RNA", at positions 29 to 523 of the family's 1533-position model. The record is from RNAcentral.